CGCUGUUCUAGAUUAUCGAAUUUAUUUCAUCUAAUUUUUUGCUUGUGUAUCAUGAACUUUGCAAAGUUAUAGUUUGUUCAUAGUGAAAAGUGAAUUUCAAAAGUGAAUUUCAAAAAUUUUUCAUUCCACGAUAUUCGAUCGAUAUGUGAUAAUAUUUAAUGUGAUAAACUAUGGAAGUUACGUAUCGAAGAAAUACAAUUUCAUAGAUUUGUACAUGACGAAGACCAAAGUUUAAAAAUCUAUUCUAAAUGGAAACAUUUACACAAAUAACGAAAAUAAAUAGAUUUUUAUCUAUCUUUCGUUAUCCUAAGAUAUACAACAUCUCAAUAUUUUUAUGUUGUCUACACGCGAAUGGAAUUGUUCCAUGAUACUGAAGUGUCAUCACAGCACAAAGAAGAAACAAUAAGAUAGAAAUUAAAUGUAAGUGUAAGACAGUGAUUCUUUAAAUAGUCAAUGAUUAAUCUCGAUAAUUUAUAAAUAAAUUAGAAUUUCUAUUUAGUACUUUUGAAACAAAGAUAAUAAAAAAAAAAUAAUAAAAAUAAUACAGAAUAUUCCAACAUAAUUUCAGAUCUUGAACCAUGCCCAAAAUUAUUGUUCGCUUAUCUUUAUCUAUUCUUGUUAUUAUUCGAAUAUACUUGUAUUCAUAUAAAAUAUUUUGAUAUUUUAUCAUCAUUUGGCAUAUUUAGAAACUAAUUACAUUAUAUUUUUAUAUAUUAAGAAAUCUAAUUUUAAGUGUUAUUUAAGAAUUGAAUUCAAUAAAAAAAAAAAUAUUAUAUAUGUAAAUGUAAAAUAUAAAAAUAUUGAAAAAAUAUGAAAGUAUAGAAUAAUAAUAAUAACAACAAUAGAUAACAUGAGGCAGACAAUUUCUAUGCAAUUUUAUCUGACAUUUUAUCAAAAUCAACUAUCUUUGGACAACCUAUAAUAAUUCAUUUUUCUCAUCUAUCUUAAAGAUAUUCAUCCUAGGAAAGUCUACAUUCGCAAUAUCAUCGAUCACAACAAAGACUAGUCGAUCAUUCUCUAAUUUUCUAUCUCUCAAUCUUCGACCAUGGGAUUCUUUAAAACUUUUUGUCUUCGAAGAUCAUUGGGAAUGAUGAUGGAAAAUAUUCAAGGAUUAUCUGAUUGAGAAGCGUGCUGAUGGCAUAGAACACGCCUACGUUGAUGCCAUAACUGAACAAUAGUAACAAGUAACCGAAGUUUGUGAGUAGUUUCUUCAUGGACAUGAAGAAACUUUUUGGCGUUUCGUUCUCUCUAUGAAUUUGAGCUUGUGCUUGGUUCGGAGGAAGCGGUGGUUUAGACUUAAAAACUAGAAGAAAAUAUUAUUUCAAUAUGGAGGACUGAAAAAUCGUAAUGAUCCCAUCAUGAGCUAUCCCGACAAGAGUUCCGCUCUCGAAAGCUUGUGCUCGAAGAGCGGCAAACUUGGCAGUCACGUCAUAAACAGCAAGGUCAACGAUCAUUUAUAUCAAUUUUGUGAUAUCUAUCGUAUAUUUCUUUAUUAACUAUACAUAGCAAAUGGCAUUGUAAUAAAAAUUUUAUUAAAACCUCACCAGACGUGAAGAACGAUUGAUGUACAUAUUCUAAGAAUAGAAUUCCUCUAAUCGAACAGAAAUACUUCUUCAAAUAAAAUAUUCAAGAUUCUCGAACUAUACAUCUUAAUAUGAUAGAAAAAAAAAAAAGGUUCUCGGACCAUGCAUAUAUAUUCUCGAGAUAGAAGAGAAAAAAUAGAAGAAAAAAUUACGUCAAAGUUGAUAAAAUAAUCUGAUCGGCGGUGCACCUUGAAUAGAUUAUCUUCCUACGAGAAGGGGUGAUCUGUUUGAAAUACAUAGGUUUAAUUCGCUGAAUAGGGUCCCAGAUCCCCCUCCUACCGCCGCGAAAUGAAACGUGGGUGCACGUUACGAUUCUGUUUCCCAUCUAAUCACUACUUAAUUCUCCAACGACCCUGUCUCUCGAAUUAGAGUUUUACUACACAGCAUAACGUCGUGUGGAUACGUUCACUUUGUUGGCAUUGGCUUCAUCCAGAAUCUCAUUGAAAAUUUGGCACGCGAUUCUAUUGCUAUUGUUUCGAGUAAAAUGAUGGAGUAAUUAAUGGAUCUUUGAGACAAUAAUUGAGACAAUGAUCUGGUAUUAUAACAAGGACUCUUUUGAAGUUAUAAUUUUUCUCAAAAAUGAAGCAAGAAAUCAAAGUAUUCUAUCAAUUGAUUCUAUAUUUUUUACAUAUUUUCAUAUAAAAAAUUAUCUUUACAUUCUAAACAUAAAUUAAUCUAUAUGUACAACUUAUAUAUAUGUACGUAUG
Apis mellifera (honey bee) is the source of this 2290-nucleotide long non-coding RNA. RefSeq lists it as uncharacterized. Lineage: Eukaryota; Metazoa; Arthropoda; Insecta; Hymenoptera; Apidae. The record is from RefSeq and is a predicted model, not a curated record. The transcript has 7 exons.